Molecule: ribosomal RNA, 497 nt
Filed under: uncultured bacterium
Lineage: Bacteria
Description: partial 16S ribosomal RNA
Rfam family: Bacterial small subunit ribosomal RNA
Source: RNAcentral
GAUGAACGCUGGCGGCGUGCCUAAUACAUGCAAGUCGAGCGAACAGACGAGGAGCUUGCUCCUCUGACGUUAGCGGCGGACGGGUGAGUAACACGUGGAUAACCUACCUAUAAGACUGGGAUAACUUCGGGAAACCGGAGCUAAUACCGGAUAAUAUAUUGAACCGCAUGGUUCAAUAGUGAAAGACGGUUUUGCUGUCACUUAUAGAUGGAUCCGCGCCGCAUUAGCUAGUUGGUAAGGUAACGGCUUACCAAGGCAACGAUGCGUAGCCGACCUGAGAGGGUGAUCGGCCACACUGGAACUGAGACACGGUCCAGACUCCUACGGGAGGCAGCAGUAGGGAAUCUUCCGCAAUGGGCGAAAGCCUGACGGAGCAACGCCGCGUGAGUGAUGAAGGUCUUCGGAUCGUAAAACUCUGUUAUUAGGGAAGAACAAAUGUGUAUGUAACUAUGCACGUCUUGACGGUACCUAAUCAGAAAGCCACGGCUAACUACGUG